UGGAGUUUUCAUGGGUAGCCACUUU
RNAcentral lists this non-coding RNA (25 nucleotides) under Mus musculus (house mouse). The record is from RNAcentral. Lineage: Eukaryota; Metazoa; Chordata; Mammalia; Rodentia; Muridae.